This 497-nucleotide ribosomal RNA is filed under the name uncultured bacterium. RNAcentral's name for it is "partial 16S ribosomal RNA". It matches the Rfam family "Bacterial small subunit ribosomal RNA", at positions 28 to 507 of the family's 1533-position model. The record is from RNAcentral.
GAUGAACGCUGGCGGCGUGCCUAAUACAUGCAAGUCGAGCGAACAGACGAGGAGCUUGCUCCUCUGACGUUAGCGGCGGACGGGUGAGUAACACGUGGAUAACCUACCUAUAAGACUGGGAUAACUUCGGGAAACCGGAGCUAAUACCGGAUAAUAUAUUGAACCGCAUGGUUCAAUAGUGAAAGACGGUUUUGCUGUCACUUAUGGAUGGAUCCGCGCCGCAUUAGCUAGUUGGUAAGGUAACGGCUUACCAAGGCAACGAUGCGUAGCCGACCUGAGAGGGUGAUCGGCCACACUGGAACUGAGACGCGGUCCAGACUCCUACGGGAGGCAGCAGUAGGGAAUCUUCCGCAAUGGGCGGAAGCUUGACGGAGCAACGCCGCGUGGGUGAUGAUGGUCUUCGGAGCGUAAAACUCUGUUAUUAGGGAAGAACAAAUGUGUAAGUAACUAUGCACGUCUUGACGGUACCUAAUCAGAAAGCCACGGCUAACUACGUG